This 496-nucleotide ribosomal RNA is filed under the name uncultured bacterium. Its description in RNAcentral is "partial 16S ribosomal RNA". It matches the Rfam family "Bacterial small subunit ribosomal RNA", at positions 899 to 1397 of the family's 1533-position model. The record is from RNAcentral.
ACUCAAAUGAAUUGACGGGGGCCCGCACAAGCAGUGGAGUAUGUGGUUUAAUUCGAAGCAACGCGAAGAACCUUACCAGGGCUUGACAUCCCUUGACGACGUAAGAGAUUACGUUUCCCUUCGGGGCAAGGAGACAGGUGGUGCAUGGUUGUCGUCAGCUCGUGUCGUGAGAUGUUGGGUUAAGUCCCGCAACGAGCGCAACCCUUACUGUUAGUUGCCAGCAUGUUAUGAUGGGCACUUUAACGGGACUGCCGGUGACAAAUCGGAGGAAGGUGGGGACGACGUCAAAUCAUCAUGCCCCUUAUGUCCUGGGCUACACACGUACUACAAUGGCUAUUACAGAGGGAAGCAAUAUCGCAAGGUGGAGCAAACCCCAAAAAAUAGUCCCAGUUCAGAUUGUGGGCUGAAACUCGCCCACAUGAAGUCGGAAUUGCUAGUAAUGGCAGGUCAGCAUACUGCCGUGAAUACGUUCCCGGGCCUUGCACACACCGCCCGU